AUGUCCCCCUUCAAAGUGUUAUAUGGACGAAAGUGUCGGACCCCUCUGAACUGGUCAGAAACUGGGGAACGUCCACUCUUCGGUCCGAAUAUUAUCCAACAGGCCGAAGAACAAGUCUGCAUUAUACGCGAGAAUCUCAAGACUGCUCAGUCACGUCAGAAAAGUCAGUAUGACUGUCAUCACAAAGACAUGGUCUAUCAACCUGGCGAAAAGGCUUAUCUUCGAGUUACACCAAUGAAGGGUGCUCGCCGCUUCGGGAUCAAGGGCAAGCUAGCUCCUCGCUAUAUCGGUCCCUUCACUAUUCUUGAAAGGCGUGGAAAAGUGGCAUUUCAACUGGAGCUUCCGUCCAACCUUUCUCAGGUUCAUGAUGUGUUCCACGUGUCACAGCUCCGCCGUUGCUUCAAGGACCCAAUCCGAGCAGUGGAUCAUGAAGUGCUCGAAUUGCAACAGGACCUCUCCUAUAAAGAGUAUCUGGUCCGCAUUCUUGACCAAGCUGAAUGCCGCACACGUCAGAAGGCGAUCAAAUUCCUCAAAGUCCAGUGGUCGCAUCACUCUGGAGAUGAAGCCACUUGGGAACGCGAGGAUCGUCUGCGGGAUGAAUACCGCGCACUGUUUCCUUCUACCUCCUAA
This 630-nucleotide ribosomal RNA is filed under the name Triticum aestivum (bread wheat). RNAcentral describes it as "partial small subunit ribosomal RNA". Lineage: Eukaryota; Viridiplantae; Streptophyta; Magnoliopsida; Poales; Poaceae. The record is from RNAcentral.